AAUGGUUUGGCGAAUUAAGUGAAACUUAGUCUGGGUACUUGCGUUAAAAGAUAUAAAUGGUUUCAUUAAUGACAUGUUUAGGUUGUUAAACGUUUUUUCUUUCCGUUUCUUCAAAUUCAUGUUUCUUCACUGAAGGGAAAAGAUACUUUCAUAAUUGCUUGAAUUGCUUUCUGUAAGUGUUUUUCAUAAUUUUAUUGCGGAAGCUGUUCUUUUUUUGUUGCAAUAUAAACACUUUGAAUUCGAAAACGAAAAUAGGAAUGUUGAGACUAGAGUAAUUCUUGGCAAACUAUUCUUAGUUUGGGUUUGACAUUUAGGGGUACAGAAAAAGUACACGAAAAACGCCAAAGACGUGGACUAGGCGUGAAAAGCAACCACUUAGGGUAGUGGCGGAAAGGGAUUUCAUAUUCUUCAAGGCAAACACGGCUGGAUUCGUGACUUCACUACUUAUGAGGAUACAAGCGGCAAUAGAAAUCAAGAGCCCGGCUUGGCUAUCCAGUAUACAUAAUAACAGGUCCGUUCAGGUCCCUCAUCAAUGGGUUACCGAAACACUGUAAAUUCCAACGUUCUAGAAUUCAAGAAUGAGCCCGGAGUUAUCACUUAAGUACGUGAUGCGAGCCCACUUGAAAUGGAGUUCGAGAUUGAUCCUUUCCA
Nematostella vectensis (starlet sea anemone) is the source of this 651-nucleotide long non-coding RNA. RefSeq lists it as uncharacterized. The transcript has 2 exons. The record is from RefSeq and is a predicted model, not a curated record. NCBI's taxonomy places the organism in Eukaryota, Metazoa, Cnidaria, Anthozoa, Actiniaria, Edwardsiidae.